This 827-nucleotide long non-coding RNA is filed under the name Fukomys damarensis (Damara mole-rat). RNAcentral's name for it is "lncRNA (ENSFDAG00000028185.1)". The record is from RNAcentral. Lineage: Eukaryota; Metazoa; Chordata; Mammalia; Rodentia; Bathyergidae.
CUUCGGCUUUGUUCACAGCAACAGACGGGCCACCCAGAAAGCACAAGCUGCACGCCAGGGACUUCUGAAAACAAGUUUUAUUUAAAUAAGGGCUUAAAUACAUUACAUAACAUCAAACUGGGAGGAAAACCAAAACCAGUUACUUCACAUGGCAUUGGGGAGCUGCUGCGUGUGGGGUGCAAGCUGUCACCAGGUGGGUUUGUCCCCUUGUCAGAAGUUUAACUGCACUGGGCUGGCCUUGAGCGCUGGGUUUGGUGUCUUUAGCUGGGCUGGCCUUGAGCGCUGGGUUUGGUGUCUUUAGCUGGGCCGUCUGGUCCCCAGGCCCUGGCAGCCAGCUGGGGAGGGCUCUCCGCUACCAACUGCUCCCUCUAGUGGUGGAGCCACACCGCUGCCUCUCCCUUUGCUCUCCCCGGUCCCUGGGCGGCUGGGGUGGGGGCCUUCUAAGGCCAGGGACCCAGCAGCGAGAGCUCGGAGAGCUCCUGGCCAGACACAGCUGCCCGCGGUCUUGGGGCCCUGCUGCAACAUCACGGUACAGUGUUUCAGGCUGCACACUGCUGGGCACCUACUGCGUGAGCUCUGUUCAAAUGAGGGAUUCCAGACUAGACAGCAUGGCUCUUUUCAGUUUAUUGCAUGAAGGAGUUACACUAGUCCAAGUGGAAGCGGACCCCAAAUGGUUACAUUAUACAAGCCGUGAGGUUUUUAAACUUGUGACAAGGGACAGAAAGGACAGUCUACUCAUUCCAAGAAAUCCUCACUUAAGCUUCAAUGAGCCACAAGCACUUAAAACCCAUGAACCUUCAGCUGAUCGUCCUUGGCCAGUCCAAUCU